RNAcentral lists this ribosomal RNA (508 nucleotides) under uncultured Mycobacterium sp. RNAcentral describes it as "bacterial SSU rRNA". It matches the Rfam family "Bacterial small subunit ribosomal RNA", at positions 169 to 691 of the family's 1533-position model. Lineage: Bacteria; Bacillati; Actinomycetota; Actinomycetes; Mycobacteriales; Mycobacteriaceae. The record is from RNAcentral.
CCGAAUAUGACCAUGCACUUCCUGGUGUGUGGUGGAAAGCUUUUGCGGUGUGGGAUGGGCCCGCGGCCUAUCAGCUUGUUGGUGGGGUAAUGGCCUACCAAGGCGACGACGGGUAGCCGGCCUGAGAGGGUGACCGGCCACACUGGGACUGAGAUACGGCCCAGACUCCUACGGGAGGCAGCAGUGGGGAAUAUUGCACAAUGGGCGCAAGCCUGAUGCAGCGACGCCGCGUGAGGGAUGACGGCCUUCGGGUUGUAAACCUCUUUCAGCACAGACGAAGCGCAAGUGACGGUAUGUGCAGAAGAAGGACCGGCCAACUACGUGCCAGCAGCCGCGGUAAUACGUAGGGUCCGAGCGUUGUCCGGAAUUACUGGGCGUAAAGAGCUCGUAGGUGGUUUGUCGCGUUGUUCGUGAAAACUCACAGCUUAACUGUGGGCGUGCGGGCGAUACGGGCAGACUUGAGUACUGCAGGGGAGACUGGAAUUCCUGGUGUAGCGGUGGAAUGCGC